This 207-nucleotide ribosomal RNA is filed under the name Dysgonamonadaceae bacterium. RNAcentral describes it as "partial 16S ribosomal RNA". It matches the Rfam family "Bacterial small subunit ribosomal RNA", at positions 1 to 202 of the family's 1533-position model. Lineage: Bacteria; Pseudomonadati; Bacteroidota; Bacteroidia; Bacteroidales; Dysgonomonadaceae. The record is from RNAcentral.
ACAAUGAAGAGUUUGAUCCUGGCUCAGGAUGAACGCUAGCGGCAGGCUUAACACAUGCAAGUCGAGGGGCAGCGGGGGUAGCAAUACCCGCCGGCGACCGGCGCAAGGGUGCGUAACGCGUGAGCAACAUGCCUGUAACAGUGGGAUAACCCGGAGAAAUUCGGACUAAUACCGCAUAUUGACAUUAGGGAGCAUUUUUUGGUGUUG